This is a long non-coding RNA of Rattus norvegicus (Norway rat), 529 nucleotides long. RefSeq lists it as uncharacterized. The record is from RefSeq and is a predicted model, not a curated record. NCBI's taxonomy places the organism in Eukaryota, Metazoa, Chordata, Mammalia, Rodentia, Muridae.
UUGCCUCAUUCUGGGUGACAGCCUGCCAGAGAGGCCCUGCCAAACUCUGGGCAGAUCGUUCGGUCCUGGAUUGGGCUAGGCCAGACAUUUCCAAACUGUGCUGUUCUUUGGAAGUACAUGGAGAGCUUAAAAACAUUCUGACUGACGAGGUGAAAGUUUCCCAGAGGGGCUCUGACUGCAGUCAAGUUUGAGGACUAUUAAAUAGGUCUUUUCUGAGGUCUUUUGGUCCAGAUUGACCUGGAUCAGCUACAGAAGAGAAGCCAGAAGUGAAAGCCUUUUACCUGGUGGCGGAUGAGCCUGCUUAGAAGUCUCUUGAGCCGGGGGUGUGAAGAGUUGCAGGCCUUAGGGUCUGGGCUGGCUGGACUUGGGGAACCUUGACUGCAGCUUCGAGACUCAGUAGAGGGAACACAAACCCAUGGUUCCUUCACCUGGCUUGGAUGAAACGGUGACAUGCCUGAACUACGUGUUCCAUCUGCAAAUAGGUGGCAGCUGCCAGGACAGCUGGUGCAGUGGCUGGAGAAAGGCGAAG